RNAcentral lists this long non-coding RNA (259 nucleotides) under Capsella rubella. Its description in RNAcentral is "long non-coding RNA (CRUB_LNC000637)". The record is from RNAcentral. Lineage: Eukaryota; Viridiplantae; Streptophyta; Magnoliopsida; Brassicales; Brassicaceae.
CGAAAUGUAUAUACUGUGGGUUAAACAUAUUUUAAUCUGUUGCAGAGGAUGAAUACCAGACGUGUUUAACCCGGUUGAAUUUUUUUAUCAUCCCUGUUAGGAUUUUUUUUUUUAGUUUUUUUUCUUAUCAUGUUUGAUAGUUCACUGGUUAGGAAGAACCGUAGCUGAUUAGUAAUCCGGUUUACACUCAAUUUGGAUCCGCUAUCGUGUCGAUCCAAAAUUUAAUAUGAAGCAAUUAUUAUUUCAACCAUUCACAAAC